UACGUAGGGGGCAAGCGUUGUCCGGAAUCAUUGGGCGUAAAGAGCGUGUAGGCGGCUCGGUAAGUCCGCUGUAAAAGUCCAGGGCUCAACCCUGGAAAGCCGGUGGAAACUGUCGAGCUAGAGUCCGGAAGAGGCGAGUGGAAUUCCUGGUGUAGCGGUGAAAUGCGCAGAUAUCAGGAGGAACACCGGUGGCGAAGGCGGUUCUCUGGGCCUUACCUGACACUGAGGAGCGAAAGCGUGGGGAGCGAACAGG
RNAcentral lists this ribosomal RNA (253 nucleotides) under uncultured prokaryote. Its description in RNAcentral is "partial 16S ribosomal RNA". It matches the Rfam family "Bacterial small subunit ribosomal RNA", at positions 524 to 776 of the family's 1533-position model. The record is from RNAcentral.